RNAcentral lists this ribosomal RNA (439 nucleotides) under uncultured beta proteobacterium. RNAcentral's name for it is "SSU rRNA". It matches the Rfam family "Bacterial small subunit ribosomal RNA", at positions 242 to 673 of the family's 1533-position model. Lineage: Bacteria; Pseudomonadati; Pseudomonadota; Betaproteobacteria. The record is from RNAcentral.
CAGCUAGUUGGUGGGGUAAAGGCCUACCAAGGCGACGAUCUGUAGCUGGUCUGAGAGGACGACCAGCCACACUGGGACUGAGACACGGCCCAGACUCCUACGGGAGGCAGCAGUGGGGAAUUUUGGACAAUGGGGGAAACCCUGAUCCAGCAAUGCCGCGUGUGUGAAGAAGGCCUUCGGGUUGUAAAGCACUUUUGUCCGGAAAGAAAACUUCUGCCCUAAUACGGCGGGAGGAUGACGGUACCGGAAGAAUAAGCACCGGCUAACUACGUGCCAGCAGCCGCGGUAAUACGUAGGGUGCGAGCGUUAAUCGGAAUUACUGGGCGUAAAGCGUGCGCAGGCGGUUCGUUAAGACAGAUGUGAAAUCCCCGAGCUUAACCUGGGAACUGCAUUUGUGACUGGCGAGCUAGAGUAUGGCAGACGGGGGUAGAAUUCCCCG